RNAcentral lists this ribosomal RNA (466 nucleotides) under uncultured bacterium. RNAcentral describes it as "partial 16S ribosomal RNA". It matches the Rfam family "Bacterial small subunit ribosomal RNA", at positions 28 to 507 of the family's 1533-position model. The record is from RNAcentral.
GAUGAACGCUGGCGGCGUGCUUAACACAUGCAAGUCGAACGAUGAAGCCCAGCUUGCUGGGUGGAUUAGUGGCGAACGGGUGAGUAACACGUGAGUAACCUGCCCUUGACUCUGGGAUAAGCCCGGGAAACUGGGUCUAAUACCGGAUAGGAGCGCCUGUCGCAUGACGGGUGUUUGAGAGAUUUUUCGGUCAUGGAUGGACUCGCGGCCUAUCAGCUUGUUGGUGAGGUAAUGGCUCACCAAGGCGACGACGGGUAGCCGGCCUGAGAGGGUGAACGGCCACACUGGGACUGAGACACGGACCAGACUCCUACGGGAGGCAGCAGUGGGGAAUAUUGCACAAUGGGCGGAAGCCUGAUGCAGCGACGCCGCGUGAGGGAUGACGGCCUUCGGGUUGUAAACCUCUUUCAGUAGGGAAGAAGCGAAAGUGACGGUACCUGCAGAAGAAGCACCGGCUAACUACGUG